UCCGCGGUAGCUCAAUGGUAGAGCAGUUGCCUGUUAAGCAAUUGGUUGCAGGUUCGAAUCCUGCCCGCGGAG
RNAcentral lists this transfer RNA (72 nucleotides) under Patescibacteria group bacterium. Its description in RNAcentral is "tRNA-Asn". It matches the Rfam family "tRNA". From Rfam's summary of the family: Transfer RNA (tRNA) molecules are approximately 80 nucleotides in length. Their secondary structure includes four short double-helical elements and three loops (D, anti-codon, and T loops). The record is from RNAcentral. RNAcentral also lists the same sequence under 1 other name.